GCACAAGCAGUGGAGUAUGUGGUUUAAUUCGAAGCAACGCGAAGAACCUUACCAGGUCUUGACAUCCGAUGCAUAGCGCAGAGAUGCGUGAAGUCCUUCGGGACAUCGAGACAGGUGGUGCAUGGUUGUCGUCAGCUCGUGUCGUGAGAUGUUGGAUUAAGUCCCGCAACGAGCGCAACCCUUAUUGCCAGUUACUACGUAAGAGGACUCUGGCGAGACUGCCGUUGACAAAA
RNAcentral lists this ribosomal RNA (233 nucleotides) under uncultured bacterium. Its description in RNAcentral is "partial 16S ribosomal RNA". It matches the Rfam family "Bacterial small subunit ribosomal RNA", at positions 923 to 1163 of the family's 1533-position model. The record is from RNAcentral.